This 1981-nucleotide long non-coding RNA is filed under the name Canis lupus familiaris (dog). RNAcentral's name for it is "lncRNA (ENSCAFG00845023127.1)". Lineage: Eukaryota; Metazoa; Chordata; Mammalia; Carnivora; Canidae. The record is from RNAcentral.
UGUUUUUUUUUUCUUUCUUCUUUUUUUAAAGUAUUUUGCAGGGACAUCUGGGUGGCUUAGUGGUUGAGCGUCUGCCUUCAGCUCAGGGCAUGAUUCUGGAGUCCCAGGAUUGAGUCCCAUAUCAGGCUCCCUGCAUGGAGCCUGCUUCUCCCUCUGCCUGUGUCUCUGCCUCUCUUUCCAUGUCUCUCAUGAAUAAAUAAAUAAAAUCUUUUUUAAAAAAGGUAUUUUAAAAUAGAGGGAAAGAUGCCAUAUUACAAAGCCACAAUCUUUUAAACUACCUUGCUCAUGGAUGAAUCUUCUCUUGACUUCAGAAGAUAGGACUCUAUUCUCAAGGUCUAUUGUUACUUGUUCUGCAUAUCAUGGAUUACAAAAACAACAUUAUAUGAUCACCAUUUUCAAAACUACUUAUUUUCUCAAAUCCUUUCUUUUAUGUAUGUCAGGAGAGAGAAAUGCAGAGUCUACAUAUACAAGCAAGAAGGAACUACAUUCAUGUAGGCUAUCAGGUGGUUUUGCUGAACAGACCACAUUCUGUGCCUCAAGUAAAUGUUUAGUGUGCCUACCAAAUACUAGACGUGCUGAAGAUAAAGCAGUGGAUAAGACAUACUCUCUAUUCACAAGACACUUGUAAAAUAUUUUUGAAGAAUAAAGACAUAAAAAGAUAAUUCAUGGGGCAUCUGGGUGGCACAGUCAGUUGAACCUCCAACUCUUGGUUUCAGCUCAGGUUGUGAUCUGAGUGUCAUGGGAUUGAGCCCCACAGGGGUGGUGUGGGGGUUGCUGAAAUUGAAAUUCUCUUUCCCUUUUUCUCUGUACUUUCUGUUUAUGCUAUCUCAAAUAAAUAAAUCUUUUUUAAAAAGAUAAUUUAUAAUACAAGAUGGUAAACAAUUUAAUCACCUGGAGAGAUAAUACCUAUAAGAAUUCCAGGUGAGGGCAGCCUGGAUGGCUCAGAGGUUCAGCGCCGCCUUCAGCCUAGGGCGUGGUCCUAGAGACCUGGGAUUGAGUCCCACAUCGGGCUCUGCAUGGAGCCUGGUUCUCCCUCUGCCUGUUUCUCUCUCUCUCUCUCUCUCUCUCUCUCUCUCUCUCUCUCUCUCUCCCUCUCUUGAAUAAAUAAAUAAAAUCUUUUAAAAAAGAGAGAGAGAGAGAAAAGAAUUCCAUGUGAAAGAGAGAUCAAGCUGUUUGGUGUAGUAAGGAGAUCAUCAGGGCAGGGAACAGUGCUUGAUCUGGACAUUAAAGGAUGGAUGGUCUGGCAACCCACAGGUUGGCUCCAAUGUCAUUCACCUGUUCCUCAUUGCUUUUAGAUCUCUGAUUGUGUUUGUACAGAAAUGUGCCCAUUCUGAAAAAUAAGUCAUGUCUUAUGGUAAUCCUGCUGUCUUUGCAGUUGAUGGAUCUAGGGAUGGGUUUAGGGUACAGUUUCACUCAAAUUCUUGGAAAUACUGUUUUGCUGUUUGCCCCACUUACUUAUUUGCUUGUAUCCCUGUCCUACAAAGAUAUGAGUCUGAAAGCUGAAUCAGCCUUCUAGUGAACAUUAUAGAGGGCAUCACCAAGACAAUGAAGGUAGUAGAAUACAAGGAUGAUCAAGUCUGGGUCACUGGUGAUGUUGCAGAGCUAUUCUGUCAACCCUGGGACUGCUCACCUCCAAAUUUUCUGUUAUGUGAAAUAACUAUGCCUUUAUUACUUAAAAUACUUUAGUUGGCUAUUCCAUUACUGAUACAGGUGGCUCAGGAAUUCCAAGAAGAACAGCAAGAGUUAUUAGCAUGUUUGGGGAUGAUGAAUGGAUGAAUUUGACUAGGUAAACUAGAGGGCUUGAUAAAAGCAAUAAACACUGAAAUCGAGUGAGAAAAAGCAUGAAAUUUAGAACCAGAUAGAUCUGCGAUCCAAUCCUGGUUUGGUCAUUGAAGAUCUAUGUGACCAUACCAAGUUCUCCCACUUUGCAUCUGUAAAAUGGACAUACUUAAGUAUACCUUGUAGUAAGUGUUACUGUGUU